AGAGUUUGAUCAUGGCUCAGAUUGAACGCUGGCGGCAUGCUUUACACAUGCAAGUCGAACGGCAGCGCGGGGGCAACCCUGGCGGCGAGUGGCGAACGGGUGAGUAAUGCAUCGGAACGUAUCCUGUAAUGGGGGAUAACGUAGCGAAAGUUACGCUAAUACCGCAUACGCUCGAGAGAGGAAAGUGGGGAUCGCAAGACCUCACGUUAUAGGAGCGGCCGAUGUCCGAUUAGCUAGUUGGUGGGGUAAAGGCCUACCAAGGCGACGAUCGGUAGCUGGUCUGAGAGGAUGAUCAGCCACACUGGGACUGAGACACGGCCCAGACUCCUACGGGAGGCAGCAGUGGGGAAUUUUGGACAAUGGGCGAAAGCCUGAUCCAGCCAUGCCGCGUGCGGGAAGAAGGCCUUCGGGUUGUAAACCGCUUUAGUCCGGGAAAAAGGGGUGCGAGGAUAAUACCCUUGUGCUUUGAUGGUACUGGAAGAAUAAGCACCGGCUAACUACGUG
RNAcentral lists this ribosomal RNA (504 nucleotides) under uncultured bacterium. RNAcentral describes it as "bacterial SSU rRNA". It matches the Rfam family "Bacterial small subunit ribosomal RNA", at positions 8 to 507 of the family's 1533-position model. The record is from RNAcentral.